Molecule: ribosomal RNA, 700 nt
Filed under: uncultured bacterium
Lineage: Bacteria
Description: bacterial SSU rRNA
Rfam family: Bacterial small subunit ribosomal RNA
Source: RNAcentral
AGAGUUUGAUCCUGGCUCAGAACGAACGCUGGCGGCAGGCUUAACACAUGCAAGUCGAGCGCCCCGCAAGGGGAGCGGCAGACGGGUGAGUAACGCGUGGGAAUCUACCCAUCUCUACGGAACAACUCCGGGAAACUGGAGCUAAUACCGUAUACGUCCUUCGGGAGAAAGAUUUAUCGGAGAUGGAUGAGCCCGCGUUGGAUUAGCUAGUUGGUGGGGUAAUGGCCUACCAAGGCGACGAUCCAUAGCUGGUCUGAGAGGAUGAUCAGCCACACUGGGACUGAGACACGGCCCAGACUCCUACGGGAGGCAGCAGUGGGGAAUAUUGGACAAUGGGCGAAAGCCUGAUCCAGCCAUGCCGCGUGAGUGAUGAAGGCCCUAGGGUUGUAAAGCUCUUUCGCAGGUGAAGAUAAUGACGGUAACCUGAGAAGAAGCCCCGGCUAACUUCGUGCCAGCAGCCGCGGUAAUACGAAGGGGGCUAGCGUUGUUCGGAAUUACUGGGCGUAAAGCGCACGUAGGCGGAUUGUUAAGUUAGGGGUGAAAUCCCAGGGCUCAACCCUGGAACUGCCUUUAAUACUGGCAAUCUCGAGUCCGAGAGAGGUGAGUGGAAUUCCGAGUGUAGAGGUGAAAUUCGUAGAUAUUCGGAGGAACACCAGUGGCGAAGGCGGCUCACUGGCUCGGUACUGACGCUGAGGUGCGA